Molecule: ribosomal RNA, 253 nt
Filed under: uncultured bacterium
Lineage: Bacteria
Description: partial 16S ribosomal RNA
Rfam family: Bacterial small subunit ribosomal RNA
Source: RNAcentral
UACGUAGGGGGCAAGCGUUGUUCGGAAUCAUUGGGCGUAAAGGGCGCGCAGGUGGCUCUGUAUGUCUGCCGUGAAAGCAUACAGCUCAACUGUAUUGUGUCGGUAGAAACUGCAGGACUUGAGGCUGGGAGGGGCUGGUGGAAUUCCCUGUGUAGCGGUGAAAUGCGUAGAGAUGGGGGAGAACACUCGUGGCGAAGGCGGCCAGCUAGACCAGUUCUGACACUGAGGCGCGACAGCGUGGGGAGCAAACAGG